Molecule: long non-coding RNA, 1872 nt
Filed under: Piliocolobus tephrosceles (Ugandan red Colobus)
Lineage: Eukaryota; Metazoa; Chordata; Mammalia; Primates; Cercopithecidae
Description: lncRNA (ENSPTEG00000006338.1)
Source: RNAcentral
UGUUAAAUGUGAUAGUGUAGGUGACGAGACAUAUAUAGGUAUACAUAAUGAGAAUAAUAUGAGUUCCGAUGUUAUUAACAGCUGUGACAAUGUUAGCAACAAUAUUAGAGACAAUAUUGGCGACAAUAUGAAUAUUUCUGAUAAGUCUAAGACGAAAAACCUUUUACCAGCUGAUGAUGAUGCCAAAAGCAUAAAAUCUAACGACAGUGAUUGUUCUGAUGUAAGUUCCUUAAGUAGUAAACAGUCUUCGUUUUUGUCUUUUUUUUCCAAAAUCCAUAAGUCAUGUAGCAGUAAUAGCAAAAAAGGGAGAAAAAGCAAAAUAGAAAAAUUAGCAUCAAAUGAAUCGAUGAAUCGAAAUACAAAAAUUUACGACUUCUUUUCAUUUAAAAAGAAUGAUAAUGAACAACAAAAAAAAAAAAGAGAUACGGAAUGUCUUAGUGAUAUAGAAGUUUCGGAAUCGAAAAGGCAAAAAAGGGACCCAUUGGGUGGUAAAAAUGGUGAUGGCAACAGCGCCAAUGACAGCUUGUUCGAUCCUCAUAACGAUGCAAACGAUUUAAAAAAUAAACAAGAUAACACGAAAGAGCAAGGAGACAUAAAUACAAAUGGUUUAAUAAAAAUUACACAUAAUGAUGAAAAAUUAAAAUGCAGCGUGAAUAAUAAUGGCAAUAAUAGUGGCAAUAAUAAUGGUAAAGGUAAGGGUUUGGAAUGUACCUAUAACAAUUAUAUGGAUGAUGAAAAGUUGAACGAAAAAAGUACAAAGGUCGUAGGUGAGGCACAGGAGCUAAGCAGAUCAAACGAAGAAAACACGCAAAAACAAAAACACAUUUCUGAUGAGAAUAAACAAACUAAACUAAGUAGUAUACAUGGUAAUAGUGUUACUUCGAUUGACAAGAACAUUGAUAAUAAUAACGAGAAAGAAAAAAAUAUGAAUAGUAAUAAAAACAUAAAUACAAAUAGUGACUCUUUAGACCCAUCCGACUCGUCCGAUUCGUGUAACUCAUCCAUAUUCUCGGAUUGUUCUACAGUGUCAAAAAAGGAAAGCAAUACGAUAUAUACAAAAUAUGAAAAAAAAAAAAAAAAAAAACCAGAAGCAUUAACAGAACUAGAAAAAAAAAAUAAACUAAAAAAAAUGAUUUUGAUAAAACCUAAUAUAAUUAAUGGAUAUGAUAAUUUACAUAUAAAAUGUAAUGUUUGUUUAAAGAAUACAGGUAUUUUUAUAAAAUGUAAUAAUAUACAGUGUGAUCACUAUAUACACCCCUAUUGUGCAUUUAUGUGUGGGCUAUAUAUAAAAUGUAAAAUAUAUGAAGAUCAGUUUAUAAUAUUUAAGGGCAAAUUAGAUAACUGUUUUUUGCGACUGUUUUUUUUUAUAUAUUGUAUUUCACAUUCAGUAAAAAAAUGUGGAGCUAAUAAUAUUUAUGAACAGAUUAUAAAAAGAAGAACAAAAUAUCUGAAUAGGGAUUUAUAUCCAAAUAUAUUUGAAAAUAAUAAAAAAGAGAGAAAGCAAAAAAAUGCGUUAAAAUAUAAAAUACGUAAUAAUUCGAAUAUGUUUAACAAUAGUACCACUAUUGCUACUGGAAUAGCUAACAACAGUCGUAAUCGUUUUGGAAAUGCUAUUACUGGUGUAACAACCAAUACAGGUAGUACAAAUAACCAAAACACAUUUGAUAACAACAAUAUGAUUAAUAUAGCUAAUAGAAGUGACGUUUUUGAAUUUUUAGCUCAGAAUUAUAAUUAUUUACAAAUAUAUCAAUAUAACUAUUAUCUUCAACCUGCCGUUGAUCAACUCAAAAAUAAUAUUUGUUCUGUUUGUUUUACUUCAUAUAAUAAGGAUACAGAUUUGUUUUAUUGUAAGUAUUGCAAUUUAUGCGUUCA